UACAAGUUAAUAUUUCUAUUUGCUUUAAAUCCAGCAUUUCUAAUCCCCUAUGAAGCCUUUUCUCCCCCUCAGCCAUUCUUACUGCACAAGCAGGAGGUUACAUGAGACUGAGGAACUCUUCUAAUGAUAUCCCUGUUUCAUGGAUUGUUGUAUCCAAAUAAUUCAUCAUUAAAUGACUAGCCUGCUUGUGAUAAGCCUUUCUGGGCUUAGGCUAUACUGGUCCACAGAAAGGGGAUACCAUCUAACCUUGGGACCAUACUCCCCUUUCUCACCUGUCAAAGUUUGCCCUCCACUGACCUAGUCUUUCUUUUUCUUUUUAUUUUUUUAUAUCCUUUACUUUCUGUCUUAAUAUCAUCUCUAAGACAGAAAAAUGGCAAAGGACUAAAGCAACUGGAGUUAAGUGUCCCAUAGCUAGGAAAUAUCUGCUGAAGUCAGAUUUGAACCCAGGUCCUCCCAAUUCCAGGUCUGGUGCUUUAUCCACGGGGCUACCUAGCUGCCCCCAGUAGCCUAAUCUUUAAGAACUUAAAGAACAUAAGAAUAUGUGUUUGCCAGAUUGAAAUUUAUUUUCCCCAAAGCACAUGGGAGAGAUGAGUUUCUUAGAGAUUGGAGUGGUAUGAGUGGAGUUCCACUCUGGAAAGGUACCUUUCCACUGUGAUAAAGCUAAAUGUCUUCAGCUGGUUCCUUUUGGUGCCUGGAUGCUGCAAGGUUAUCAGAGCUACUUAAUACCAAUAUUGACUUUUUCACAACAAUCGUUUUGUCCUUCCGAGCCGUAUGCUCUCCACCUGAAAAAUAGGAAUAAUGGUAACAUAUGCACGACUGACCUCACAGGCUCAAAAUUGGAGGAUAAGUAAUAAACAAAGUGCUCUAUGAUAUAUUAUUAUUCUUACAAACAAUAAUAACAGUUCUUCAUGCUUCUGAAGGCAUAAGCUAUUCCCUUUGGAAAUUAAUAGCUACUCCAGAGUCCACCCAGAUGUAGGAUUUGGGAAACAUUUGACUGAAGGUUACCAGCAUCGGUUCUCUAGGUGACUUUAAAUUCCCAGGGUUCCCUCUAUUGAUCCCAGAAGGAAGCCAGAAAGUCCAAAUAGAACCCUACGUAUCUUGGCAAACACUUUACCAACCAAACCUAGACUUAAGGCUAAAUUUAAAAAUAAAAAUAAAAAGUAAGUCCUCUGGCUCUCCCCA
This 1182-nucleotide long non-coding RNA is filed under the name Monodelphis domestica (gray short-tailed opossum). RNAcentral's name for it is "lncRNA (ENSMODG00000035274.2)". Lineage: Eukaryota; Metazoa; Chordata; Mammalia; Didelphimorphia; Didelphidae. The record is from RNAcentral.